UUUAGCAGGCCAGAGUAUAGACCCCCUUGAGCCUUUCAGGGCUGGAAACACCACUAAUCUCUUGCUUGUAACUGGUACUGCUAUCUCCUUAGCACAGUGUACCUUGUGGAAUACCUGGUGAUAUUCACCUAGGGCUGUUUCUUGACCUUGCUUCUGGCUCACGUUUUGGCCUGUAUGCAGUCCCUGUGAUUGCCCUUGGUUUCUUUGGAGUGUGCUACUCCAGGAGCCCUGACUUUGCUGAUGCUUCUUCCUCAGGAGCAGGCGGAAGAUGCGGGCACAGCGCGACCCAAAUCUAGAUCAAGGAAGUGACAAAACACUUCACAACAGCUUGCAACUCAUGAAGUUACUGGUGAAGUGUGUUUGCACUCUGCUGAAUGAUUGGACAGAUAGUAUUUUGUUGGCACCUUAACAGAUGGAUGAUGCUCAAGAUGGACUAGCAGUUUUUGCAAGAAAUUUAAACAUGUCUCUGCCUAGGAGGCUCAUAGUCUAAAGUGACUUGUAAUCUAAACUGAUUAGAAAUUUAUGGGAGGGAAGAAAUUACACGGCACAGAUAUGGGUAAUAGCAGGAAGAUUCCUCCAAGCAUAUCAAGAAGGCAAAGAGAAAGAAAUUGAGAGGAGCAAAACAUCUGAGACUUGAGAACAGGAAGAUCAAAGCAUACCAGCUGAAACAAUGAGAGACCAGCAAUCUCAGAUACAAAGAAGGAUGCAAUAAUGUCUUGAUUACAUCCUGCUGGUGAGAGGAAAUAGCACUAUGCUUUCACCACAGUGGCUGAUGUCUUGUCUGCAGCAGGUACAAGUAGCAGGCAACACGCAUGGCCGUGUACUAUAUUUCUGGCAAACCUGGGCAUGUGUGCGCGAGAAAGAACUCAGCAAAUACAUUAAGCCAAUGAGGUCUGAUAUCCCUGCUACUUGAUUCAAAGCACGUUUGCAACUUCUGCAUCUCGGAGCCAGGCAAGUGUCACUUUACCUUUCCUGAACGAUUGAUUCCAGCGUUGCAGUGGCCAGAGACGCCAGGGCCUUAUGAAGGUCUGUUUGAGGGAAGGCUAAGGAGAAAUGUAGGAAACAAUGGGAUUUUGGUAGCAACUCAGUGGUUUGUGCAUUCCCAUGGAGCCUACCAGCUCCUUGCCUCCUCCUCGUGUACUGACUGGUGAACUUUGAAGGUGCCUUCUGGGCUCUCCAAUUCUGUGAGGGCACAUCGAGGCCAUUUGCUAACCUGCCCUCAAGUAAAAAGAUGCAAAUGGAUUGACAGUGUGGUUUUUAAGGCCGGGUUUGUGCACAGUUGUGCCAGCGGAACCCAACUUUGGCCCAGUCAGGUGCCUUGUUGCUUGGGGCAAGUUGAACUGCUUCCAGGUGACCCCUCAAGAAAGCAUUUGUCACACUCAUGGAACUGGGGAUUCUGCCAUUAGCUUUCAACUUUCAGAUUCAGGACCCCACCUUCAAUUACAGCCUGCAAUGUUGAGGCCAGUUUUAUUUUUUUAACCCUAUGCAGCCACCCCUGCUUUUCUCUCUAGGCUGACCAUAGCAAUGUAAGGAUAAGACCAAGGAGCUAUCUGGUCUAGCAACAAGCUUCCUGCCGUGGCCAGCCAAGGCCUCUGGGAAACACAUGGGCUGUGCAUGUUCAGUUGCUGCAUCUGGUGUUGAGGUACACUGCCUCUGAAUGUGGAAGCUCUAUUUUGCAGUAGCUUCUUCUACGAAUGUACCUAAUUCCCUUUUUAAAAGCCCUCAAAGCUAGUGGCCAUCACAUGAUCUGGCAGUCUGCUCUAUGGAUUUAAUAAUGUCUAAUGUGAAGAAGUAACAACAACCAAAGGAAUGAGAGGACAGCGCUUUUAUAACUUUAGAAGCUGCAUAAAAGAGAGAAUUUUGGCAGAUGCAACUUCUCUUGCAAGGGGUGAGAAAAUCUGCACCUGCUGAAAUUCCCCCAGAAGAGAUCACAAUGUUCAAAGAUACAGAAGGGUCAGCCUGUUUUGUCCCCGGCCACCUUUUCUCCGUUUCUCUCUUGGCAGAAAAGACACAACCCAUCCUAUAGUAACAGAGUGAGAAGUUGCGAGGCCUUCUCUUUAUUCUUUCCUUGCCACAGAUGGCACUGGCUGCUCUAGGGUCUAGCCCACCACAGGCCCCUUAAGAUUCCUCAGUCCCUCUUCAAGAGAUGUAACAGAAAUGGCCCGCUUUAAAUGGGGGGGGGAGAACAGGCUGGCUACAGAGGGUGCAAGGUUUAGCUGCUCUUCUCCCGGGG
Long non-coding RNA from Rhineura floridana, 2233 nucleotides. RefSeq lists it as uncharacterized. The transcript is spliced from 3 exons. NCBI's taxonomy places the organism in Eukaryota, Metazoa, Chordata, Lepidosauria, Squamata, Rhineuridae. The record is from RefSeq and is a predicted model, not a curated record.